This 245-nucleotide ribosomal RNA is filed under the name uncultured bacterium. RNAcentral describes it as "partial 16S ribosomal RNA". It matches the Rfam family "Bacterial small subunit ribosomal RNA", at positions 524 to 768 of the family's 1533-position model. The record is from RNAcentral.
UACAGAGGGUGCGAGCGUUAAUCGGAAUUACUGGGCGUAAAGCGCACGUAGGCGGCUUGGUAAGUUGGAUGUGAAAUCCCCGGGCUUAACUUGGGAAUUGCAUUCAAGACUGCCUUGCUAGAGUGUGGGAGAGGGAAGCGGAAUUCCAGGUGUAGCGGUGAAAUGCGUAGAUAUCUGGAGGAACAUCAGUGGCGAAGGCGGCUUUCUGGCCCAACACUGACGCUGAGGUGCGAAAGCGUGGGGAG